AACGAACGCUGGCGGCAUGCCUAAUACAUGCAAGUCGAACGAUCACUUCGGUGGUAGUGGCGCACGGGUGCGUGACGCGUGGGAAUCUACCCUUGGGUUCGGAAUAACAGUUAGAAAUGACUGCUAAUACCGGAUGAUGACGAAAGUCCAAAGAUUUAUCGCCCAAGGAUGAGCCCGCGUAGGAUUAGCUAGUUGGUGAGGUAAAAGCUCACCAAGGCGACGAUCCUUAGCUGGUCUGAGAGGAUGAUCAGCCACACUGGGACUGAGACACGGCCCAGACUCCUACGGGAGGCAGCAGUAGGGAAUAUUGGACAAUGGGGGCAACCCUGAUCCAGCAAUGCCGCGUGAGUGAUGAAGGCCUUAGGGUUGUAAAGCUCUUUUACCCGAGAUGAUAAUGACAGUAUCGGGAGAAUAAGCUCCGGCUAACUCCGUGCCAGCCGCCGCAGUAA
Molecule: ribosomal RNA, 449 nt
Filed under: uncultured bacterium
Lineage: Bacteria
Description: partial 16S ribosomal RNA
Rfam family: Bacterial small subunit ribosomal RNA
Source: RNAcentral